Cebus imitator (Panamanian white-faced capuchin) is the source of this 634-nucleotide long non-coding RNA. RefSeq lists it as uncharacterized. The record is from RefSeq and is a predicted model, not a curated record. The transcript is spliced from 3 exons. Lineage: Eukaryota; Metazoa; Chordata; Mammalia; Primates; Cebidae.
CUGCAGCAGAGGUGGCCCAGCAGCUGCACCACCAGAUCCAGUUGCUGGUGUGGAACCGAGAGCAAAGCUGAGAGGUGAGCUGAGCCUGCGGUGCAGGCAGAGCAGCGCCAGCAGCAUCUGCCACACUAGCUCAUCCAAUCUUGUUGUACUCCUGUGGCCCUGGGGCACCCUCUUUCUCCUCACACGCUACCGCGGCCUGAUGGCUUUUAUCCAUCCCUGCAGCCUGCGCGGGCCAUUGCUUAGGGAUAAGUACACAGGAAGAGAGGCAUUUGCAAGUGUCAUGAUAACCACAUCACCACUGCUGUUGGCACUCACAGAACUGUUGAAAUGAAAGUCUUUAAGGCCAAUGUCAAAAAUUGUAUCUGUUAUGAUUCCCUUGGAAUGGGACCUGUGUGUGAGUGAGAUGCUGGUGCCUGUGGCAUUUCAGGGGCCUUUAGGGAGAUGAUUAAGGUUGAAUGAGGUAUGAGAAGGCAAAGAGACACCAGAGUCUUCUGUCUGCCAUGUGAGAACACAGUGAGAAGGUGGCCAUCUGCAAGCCAGGAACGGAUCCCUCACCAGAACCUGACCAGGCUGGCACCUGACCUCAGACUUCUAUUCUCUACAACUGUGAGAAAAUUAAUUUCCGUAAUUUAAA